RNAcentral lists this ribosomal RNA (428 nucleotides) under Bacteroidota bacterium. Its description in RNAcentral is "Bacteroidetes bacterium partial 16S ribosomal RNA". It matches the Rfam family "Bacterial small subunit ribosomal RNA", at positions 355 to 776 of the family's 1533-position model. The record is from RNAcentral. Lineage: Bacteria; Pseudomonadati; Bacteroidota.
UAGGGAAUCUUCCGCAAUGGACGCAAGUCUGACGGAGCAACGCCGCGUGAGUGAAGAAGGAUUUCGGUUCGUAAAACUCUGUUGUUAGAGAAGAACAGCGCAUGGAGUAACUGUUAUGCGUGUGACGGUAUCUAACCAGAAAGCCACGGCUAACUACGUGCCAACAGCCGCGGUAAUACGUAGGUCCCGAGCGUUGUCCGGAUUUAUUGGGCGUAAAGCGAGCGCAGGCGGUUAGAAAAGUCUGAAGUGAAAGGCAGUGGCUCAACCAUUGUAGGCUUUGGAAACUGUUUAACUUGAGUGCAGAAGGGGAGAGUGGAAUUCCAUGUGUAGCGGUGAAAUGCGUAGAUAUAUGGAGGAACACCGGUGGCGAAAGCGGCUCUCUGGUCUGUAACUGACGCUGAGGCUCGAAAGCGUGGGGAGCGAACAGG